RNAcentral lists this ribosomal RNA (486 nucleotides) under uncultured bacterium. RNAcentral's name for it is "partial 16S ribosomal RNA". It matches the Rfam family "Bacterial small subunit ribosomal RNA", at positions 29 to 507 of the family's 1533-position model. The record is from RNAcentral.
AUUGAACGCUGGCGGCAUGCCUUACACAUGCAAGUCGAACGGCAGCACGGGUGCUUGCACCUGGUGGCGAGUGGCGAACGGGUGAGUAAUACAUCGGAACAUGUCCUGUAGAGGGGGAUAGCCCGGCGAAAGCCGGAGUAAUACCGCAUACGAUCUUCGGAUGAAAGCGGGGGCCCUUCGGGCCUCGCGCUAUAGGGUUGGCCGAUGGCGGAUUAGCUAGUUGGUGGGGUAAAGGCCUACCAAGGCGACGAUCAGUAGCUGGUCUGAGAGGACGACCAGCCACACUGGAACUGAGACACGGCCCAGACUCCUACGGGAGGCAGCAGUGGGGAAUUUUGGACAAUGGGCGAAAGCCUGAUCCAGCAAUGCCGCGUGUGUGAAGAAGGCCUUCGGGUUGUAAAGCACUUUUGUCCGGAAAGAAAUACUUGGCCCUAAUACGGGCGGGGGAUGACGGUACCGGAAGAAUAAGCACCGGCUAACUACGUG